Molecule: non-coding RNA, 751 nt
Filed under: Erpobdella testacea
Lineage: Eukaryota; Metazoa; Annelida; Clitellata; Hirudinida; Erpobdellidae
Source: RNAcentral
UAUUAGUUUGAUUCUAACUAAUAGAUUAGUAAUAUAUUAUAAAUCUCAUGCUAACAUAUAAUAAAAUAUUACAUAUAUGUGUAUAACAAAUUUGAUUAAUACAUAAUAGCAGCGAUGGAUACUUUAAUUAUAUGCUAACACAUGAAAAGGUUCAAAUAUUUUCGCUAGCCAAAUUCGUGCCAGCAGCAGCGGUUAUACGACAAGCCUCUAACAACUAAAAUCAAGAAAAAGAUAAAAUAAAAUAAAAUAUAAAAGUCAAAUUUCUACUAAAUUAGAUCUAAUAUUAUCUUAUAAAAAGCUAUAAACUAAAACAAGGAUUAGAUACCCUUCUAUUAUUAGUAUAAAUAAUGAUUGGGGACUACGAGUAAUGACUUAAAAACCCAAGAUUUUGGCGGUGUUUUAUUCAAUCAGGAGAAUCUGUUUCAUAAUCGAUAACCCACGAAAAAUAAACCUUACUCUUGAGAUAACAGUUUGUGUACUGCCGUCUAAUAGGCCCUUAAGGUUACCUAUAACAAAUUUUAUUAAUAGUACGUCAGGUCAAAGUGCAGCUAACGAGAAGGAGAAAAUGGAUUACAAACUAUAACAUAGAUGGAGUUUCACUAUAAAUGUAAGAUAAAAAAGAACUUGAUAGUAAUUCUAUUUAUAAAAUAAGAUGAAUAAGAACCUAAAACAAGCACAUAUCGCCCGUCACUCCUUUAUAUAGGAUAAGUCGUAACAUAGUAGGUGUAAUGGAAAUUGCAUCUGUCAGAUU